Molecule: ribosomal RNA, 609 nt
Filed under: uncultured crenarchaeote
Lineage: Archaea; Thermoproteati; Thermoproteota
Description: bacterial SSU rRNA
Rfam family: Archaeal small subunit ribosomal RNA
Source: RNAcentral
CGAUUACGGCUCAGUAACACGUAGCUAACCUACCCUUAGGACGUGGAUACCCCCGAGAAAUUGGGGUUAAUCCGCGAUAGAUGUAAUGUCCUGGAAUGGUAUUACGUCUAAAGGUAUUUCAUACAUGUUUGAAAUAUGCCUAAGGAUGGGGCUGCGGCCGAUCAGGCUGUUGGUGAGGUAAUGGCUCACCAAACCUUUGACCGGUACGGGCCAUGAGAGUGGUAGCCCGGAGAUGGACACUGAGACAAGGGUCCAGGCCCUAAGGGGCGCAGCAACCGCGAAACCUCCACAAUGCACUCACGUGCGAUGGGGCUAUCUCGAGUGCCACCUGAUGAAGGUGGCUUUUCCUUGGUCUUCAAAGCCUUGGGAAUAAGAGGGGGGCAAGACUGGUGUCAGCCGCCGCGGUAACACCAGCCCCUCGAGUGGUGGGGAUGAUUAUUUGGCCUAAAGCGUCCGUAGCCGGCCGAGCAAGUCUUCCGUUAAAUCCAGCGUCUCAAGCGUUGGACCGCGGGAGAUACUACACGGCUAGAGAGUGGGAGAGGUCAGCGGUAUUCUGGGGGUAGGGGCGAAAUCCUUUGAUCCCCGGAGGACCACCAGUGGCGAAGGCUG